GUCAAUCAACCUAGAGUUCAGCGUUAACUCAGUGUUUGUUAAAGCUCAGUUCAUGGAAAACCCCUCUGGUGAUAACGCUUAGUUCAAUCAACUCUGAGUCAAGGUAACUUUGAGUGAAGCUUGUGCAUGAGGAUAUAAAAAGCCCUCAUAAAUGGAACACAGAUAACAUGAUUCACCAUGGCAACAAGUACUAACAAGCCUCGAUCCUCCUACUUCUCCCCAGCGGAGUUGCAAAUCUUAAUGACUGCAUAUGCAGAAAGCGUGCAUAUCUUUUUACUAAAAAGCAAUACAAUUGGCAGCAGCCAAAAAGCGGGAGCUCGCGUGGGAAAAAAUAGCUGACCGAGUUAAUGCGUACAACCCAACAGGCCCCAAACUGACUUGGCAGCAACUAAAAAUGAUAUAUAAAUGUAGUUCAAACAGCCAACAGAAAAAAGGCAGAGGCACGCAAAACAGGUGGCGGUCCACCACCACCACCUCUCACAGAGGCUGAAGAGAUGGCAUCUCUGGGGGGAGCUCAUCGGACCCAGCCACGCCCCAGGACACAGGGGCCUACAUAAGAGUUACUGAUGAUGGUGUAAUCUGUCUCGUGGAGCCUUCUGCCAUAACACACCUCCAUACUGUUGAUGAUGUUGAAGACACCUUAUCAGCUGCCACAGAGAGGGAAGUAAUAACUUUGGUUUCAGUUAAUUGUUCCACAAUACAACUUGCAACUGCUUUCUCUCUAACAGAGCAAUGCCGGAAGUUACAAUGAGGAAGAAGGUCCAUCAACCUCCACAGCACAACUUACAAUGACACUAAGUAGACAUGGCACUGUGAAAUUCAACGUCAUUUAUGUUCCUAUAGCUCCCUGUGAAACAACUUUACAAAGUAUAUUUAGAAUCCCAAAUAAACAAAUCACACCUAGAAAUGGAGCACAUAAGGCUGCAGAUCACCAAAACAAAAAAGGAAAUACAACUGCUGGACCAUCAGUUAAAGGAAAUAAAGAAGACCCCAUAAAAUGA
This is a long non-coding RNA of Gadus morhua (Atlantic cod), 1001 nucleotides long. RefSeq lists it as uncharacterized. The record is from RefSeq and is a predicted model, not a curated record. The transcript is spliced from 6 exons. Lineage: Eukaryota; Metazoa; Chordata; Actinopteri; Gadiformes; Gadidae.